Molecule: ribosomal RNA, 497 nt
Filed under: uncultured bacterium
Lineage: Bacteria
Description: partial 16S ribosomal RNA
Rfam family: Bacterial small subunit ribosomal RNA
Source: RNAcentral
GACGAACGCUGGCGGCGUGCCUAAUACAUGCAAGUUGAGCGCUGAAGGUUGGUACUUGUACCAACUGGAUGAGCAGCGAACGGGUGAGUAACGCGUGGGGAAUCUGCCUUUGAGCGGGGGACAACAUUUGGAAACGAAUGCUAAUACCGCAUAAAAACUUUAAACACAAGUUUUAAGUUUGAAAGAUGCAAUUGCAUCACUCAAAGAUGACCCCGCGUUGUAUUAGCUAGUUGGUGAGGUAAAGGCUCACCAAGGCGAUGAUACAUAGCCGACCUGAGAGGGUGAUCGGCCACAUUGGGACUGAGACACGGCCCAAACUCCUACGGGAGGCAGCAGUAGGGAAUCUUCGGCAAUGGACGAAAGUCUGACCGAGCAACGCCGCGUGAGUGAAGAAGGUUUUCGGAUCGUAAAACUCUGUUGGUAGAGAAGAACGUUGGUGAGAGUGGAAAGCUCAUCAAGUGACGGUAACUACCCAGAAAGGGACGGCUAACUACGUG